RNAcentral lists this ribosomal RNA (38 nucleotides) under fungal sp. 5DI12-1pl1. RNAcentral describes it as "partial 25S ribosomal RNA". RNAcentral also lists the same sequence under 1 other name. Lineage: Eukaryota; Fungi. The record is from RNAcentral.
UUUGACCUCAAAUCGGGUGGGACUACCCGCUGAACUUA